CCUACGGAGUGCAGCAGUGAGGAAUAUUGGUCAAUGGGCGGAAGCCUGAACCAGCCAAGUAGCGUGCAGGAUGACGGCCCUACGGGUUGUAAACUGCUUUUAUACGGGAAUAACGCGCCUUACGUGUAGGGCUUUGCAUGUACCGUAUGAAUAAGGACCGGCUAAUUCCGUGCCAGCAGCCGCGGUAAUACGGAAGGUCCGGGCGUUAUCCGGAUUUAUUGGGUUUAAAGGGAGCGUAGGCCGCAUGUCAAGCGUGCUGUGAAAUGUCCGGGCUCAACCCGGGCCUUGCAGCGCGAACUGGCGUGCUUGAGUCCGCGGAAAGCAGGCGGAAUUCGUCGUGUAGCGGUGAAAUGCUUAGAUAUGACGAAGAACCCCGAUUGCGAAGGCAGCUUGCUGCAGCGGAACUGACGCUGAUGCUCGAAAGCGCGGGUAUCGAACAGGAUUAGAUACCCGUGUAGUC
This 460-nucleotide ribosomal RNA is filed under the name uncultured bacterium. RNAcentral describes it as "partial 16S ribosomal RNA". It matches the Rfam family "Bacterial small subunit ribosomal RNA", at positions 338 to 795 of the family's 1533-position model. The record is from RNAcentral.